UUAUAGUUAUGUUAAAGGUUUUAAAUUGAGAGGUACUUUAUUACAUUUUGGAAUUUUAGAGUGAGGACUUGCAUUAGAGGAUUAUAAUUUCCCUUUUGAUAAUAUGAAAGCAAAAAUUGCAGUAAUAGAUCAGAUCCAAAAAGGAAUUUUUUCUCUGACAUUUUCCAACAAAUAUAAUACUAGAUUGUUUCAGAAUAAGUUUUCCUUUAUGAAAGUUACUUAUUCUGCUGAUACCUCACCUUCACCAGUCAACAACUGAGCAUGUCCAUUAACCACAUGUAAAAUUACGGUUUAUGUUGCCUCUUUUGUAUUUCUUUCUUCCUCCCAUCAAAAAUAUCUUUGCCCUAGGUUAUCCCUAUUUCUGCUUUUCACAUCACCCAGCUGAACAGUACCUAUCCUAACCAGUCUGAGACAAGCUAGGAUUCUACCCAGUGUCCCUGCCUAAACCAAACCAGCUCUGAUCUCCAGCUCCUAUGGCUAAUCUGCAGUGCUUUGGUUUUUAUUUAUUUUGUUUUCUAAUCCAACAUGAUCAGUUCAUUUCUGAGCUUUUAAUAUUUAUUUUCCAGUUAUAAUUUCCAGGUAUAUUUCCAGGUCCUGCUACCGAGAAGAAAUCCACACCAUGUUUAAGUUAAAUGUUAUAUAGUAAUGGACCCAUGAUAAUACAUUUCAGGACUUACUUAUUCUAUGUAGGAUUGUGUAUUGAUAGGAAGAAGGAAUUUCUGGCAGGGACCUCUGAGGGACAACAACCUGCUUUGCCCGGGAGAAAGGAAGUCUCUGUAAACCCUUGCCUGAAGGUACGUGAUUCUGUUGUCUGCUGAGCUUCUGCCCGUGUGACUUGUCAGAGGAUUCUGCUGGCUUGUGCACGCUCACCACUACAUAGAUUACGAGCUUGAUGCACAGUAUGUUUUAUCCUCAUUAAGGUAACUGUGACAAAUAUCAUUAUACAUUGUCACAUCUUCCUGGUUUUAUCCUUUUUUUCAAUUCCUACUCUUCUACUCUAUGAAAUUUUACAGGAUGGAAUUACAUAGGUUGAUUGUGCAUUUUGUUUAGGCACAAACACAUAUAUAAAUGUAGAUAUAUUUAUAUAAAUGUCUCUGUGUGUUUUCAUUUUGUUGUCUUUCAAUAUCCUUGCACCCUCCUGUUCUAGAAAAGAACGCCUCAUUUCUUGCCUAUAGUUUGUAAGAGCACCAAAGAAAAUUAGCAGUCUAAAAUCUUGCUUUCAUAUGCCUUAGACACUUUUGAAAAUGCAGCUUAAAAGGCUUAAAUUGCGUAAGUAUAUUUGGAAAUGCUGCUCUGCGUCUGUGAUAUCUGUCAUUUUACAUGGUUUCAUUAUAUGCCCUCUUACUUAUAAUCCUUAUCCUGUCUCUUUAAACAAAAUGUUUCAAGAUGCAUCCUUCAGCUCUAAUCCCCUUCUGUUUGUGCUGUAUCUAUUUCGAGAUGGGAUAAUCAGAACUGAAGUUCACAUUCUAGGGGAAGAGUGACAUGUAACCACAUCAAAGGUCUGAAGCAAUGUGUCCAGUGCUGUGCACCUUCCGAAGAGCAAAACUGAAGCAGUCUUCCAAUCUAGUUGCUGGAUUGCUGGUGAGCAGAUAAAAAUGCAAGUUUGAGCACCAGCUCCAUCAAGAACAGCAGACCACCAGUGUGCCCAGUGCCUCUGAGCAGUAGUCUCAUCUGAGCUCAGUGAGGUCACCGAUCUGGCCUCCUCCUCCCUUGCAUUCAUCAUCGUGAACAAGACGGAAAUUGCCUUAUUUCUCACCAUCCAGAAAGAGAGGAUGUCAUUUAAAAGAAGAGGAAGUUGUCUUCUUGUGGAAAUGACCCUGGUGCGGGGCACUGUGUCCCUGCCAUGCCUUUCUGAGCAUCGACACCCUGAGGAACGAGUGGCUUGUAAAGGGACAGGUUGCUGAAGGGUUCAUACCUUUCUGCUCUCUCCGUCCCUCUUUCUGCCAUCCUAAUAAUCUCUGCUUAGCAUUAAGAGUCUGGGUGUGGAAGUGCCUUUAUCGCAGGCACAACGAUGGCUGCUUUCAACUAUUCUAACACCUGAAACGGGGGUUUGCAGUUCCCCGACCAUCCCGAUCGCUGCCCGAACUGUUGGGCCCUUCAAAAUGAUUCCCUCCUCUCCUGUCUCCCCAUUUUAAUGCUCUUAUACUGAAUCUCCACUGGGGCUAUGUGAUUUUCUGCCUUUUCCUGUUGCUUUAUGAAAAAGCAUAAACAUAGCCAAGGCUUUUAGCAUUCCCCAUUAUCCUCCAAAUAAUACAACAGAAUUUAAUGUUUGUUUUUUUU
Molecule: long non-coding RNA, 2280 nt
Organism: Dromaius novaehollandiae (emu)
Lineage: Eukaryota; Metazoa; Chordata; Aves; Casuariiformes; Dromaiidae
Exons: 3
Source: RefSeq, a predicted model, not a curated record